This 431-nucleotide ribosomal RNA is filed under the name uncultured cyanobacterium. Its description in RNAcentral is "bacterial SSU rRNA". It matches the Rfam family "Bacterial small subunit ribosomal RNA", at positions 9 to 481 of the family's 1533-position model. Lineage: Bacteria; Bacillati; Cyanobacteriota. The record is from RNAcentral.
GAGUUUGAUUCUGGCUCAGGAUGAACGCUGGCGGUAUGCUUAACACAUGCAAGUCGGACGGACACCUUCGGGUGUUAGUGGCGGACGGGUGAGUAACACGUAGGAAUCUACCCUCAGGCGGGGGACAACAGCUGGAAACGGCUGCUAAUACCCCAUACAGGCGGAAGCUGAAAGGAGCAAUCCACCUGAGGAUGAGCCUGCGUCGGAUUAGCUAGUUGGUGGGGUAACGGCCUACCAAGGCGACGAUCCGUAGCGGGUCUGAGAGGAUGGCCCGCCACACUGGGACUGAGACACGGCCCAGACUCCUAUGGGAGGCAGCAGUGGGGAAUUUUCCGCAAUGGGCGCAAGCCUGACGGAGCAAUACCGCGUGAGGGAGGAAGGCCCUUGGGUUGUAAACCUCUUUUCUGGGGGACGGAAGCUGACGGUACCCC